Molecule: transfer RNA, 94 nt
Filed under: Anaerolineae bacterium
Lineage: Bacteria; Bacillati; Chloroflexota; Anaerolineae
Description: tRNA-Ser
Rfam family: tRNA
About the family: Transfer RNA (tRNA) molecules are approximately 80 nucleotides in length.
Source: RNAcentral
GGGGAGAUGCCAGAGUGGUUGAAUGGGGCCGCCUGCUAAGCGGUUGUGGGGUCAUAAAGCUCCACCCAGGGUUCGAAUCCCUGUCUCCCCGCCU